This 207-nucleotide ribosomal RNA is filed under the name uncultured bacterium. RNAcentral describes it as "partial 16S ribosomal RNA". It matches the Rfam family "Bacterial small subunit ribosomal RNA", at positions 568 to 774 of the family's 1533-position model. The record is from RNAcentral.
CGCGCAGGCGGUCGUUCAAGUCGCGUGUGAAAGCCCCCGGCUCAACUGGGGAGGGUCACGCGAUACUGAUCGACUCGAAGGCAGGAGAGGGUAGUGGAAUUCCCGGUGUAGUGGUGAAAUGCGUAGAUAUCGGGAGGAACACCAGUGGCGAAGGCGACUACCUGGCCUGUUCUUGACGCUGAGGCGCGAAAGCUAGGGGAGCAAACG